AGAGUUUGAUCCUGGCUCAGGACGAACGCUGGCGGCGUGCUUAACACAUGCAAGUCGAACGGAAUCCAUGGUGUAGCAAUACACCGGAAGAUUUAGUGGCGAACGGGUGAGGAUCACGUGAGAAACGUGCCCCAGACUCUGGGAUAACAAUUGGAAACGAUUGCUAAUACCGGAUGACGUCGGAGAAUCGCAUGAUUCACUGACGAAAGAUAUUUCGGUUUGGGAGCGUCUCGCGGCCUAUCAGCUUGUUGGUGGGGUAAUGGCCUACCAAGGCAACGACGGGUAGCUGGUCUGAGAGGAUGAUCAGCCACACUGGGACUGAGACACGGCCCAGACUCCUACGGGAGGCAGCAGUGGGGAAUCUUGCGCAAUGGGCGAAAGCCUGACGCAGCAACGCCGCGUGCGGGAUGAAGGCCUUCGGGCUGUAAACCGCUUUCAGCAGGAACGAAAAUGACGGUACCUGCAGAAGAAGGAGCGGCCAACUACGUGCCAGCAGCCGCGGUGACACGUAGGCUCCAAGCGUUGUCCGGAUUUAUUGGGCGUAAAGAGCUCGUAGGCGGUUGAGUAAGUCGGGUGUGAAAACUCUGGGCUUAACCCGGAGACGCCAUCCGAUACUGCUCUGACUAGAGUUCAGGAGGGGAGUGGGGAAUUCCUAGUGUAGCGGUGAAAUGCGCAGAUAUUAGGAGGAACACCGGUGGCGAAGGCGCCACUCUGGACUGAAACUGACGCUGAGGAGCGAAAGCAUGGGUAGCAAACAGGAUUAGAUACCCUGGUAGUCCAUGCCGUAAACGGUGGGCACU
This 800-nucleotide ribosomal RNA is filed under the name uncultured bacterium. RNAcentral describes it as "bacterial SSU rRNA". It matches the Rfam family "Bacterial small subunit ribosomal RNA", at positions 8 to 817 of the family's 1533-position model. The record is from RNAcentral.